Molecule: long non-coding RNA, 246 nt
Filed under: Elaeis guineensis (African oil palm)
Lineage: Eukaryota; Viridiplantae; Streptophyta; Magnoliopsida; Arecales; Arecaceae
Description: long non-coding RNA (EGUI_LNC070167)
Source: RNAcentral
GAUGGAAUGUGUAUGGAGGUUGUGAGUAGGUCAAUAUGGAAUCGACUACUCCUGAUAAGAGGAGGUCGUAUUCUGUUUGCUCUAAUCAAUUGAUGAUUCAAGAAGUCUUUGAUCAAAGUAAGAUAAAAAUUAAAAAGAAUUUCUAAUAUCUUAUUAAUUAAAUUAUCAUUAAAGAUUAAGAAAAAUAUGAAUAUGAUAUUGAAUUUGACAUUAUUCUAUAUCCAGAGUCAUAUUCGGGAUGCAAGU